RNAcentral lists this long non-coding RNA (1082 nucleotides) under Felis catus (domestic cat). RNAcentral's name for it is "lncRNA (ENSFCAG00000052576.1)". The record is from RNAcentral. Lineage: Eukaryota; Metazoa; Chordata; Mammalia; Carnivora; Felidae.
AGAAAAAACAAAGUACACUGAAGGUGGGGCUUGGGGCAGGGUCACACAAUUUACUUGUCAAGAGAGAGAACACAAACCAAUACAAUGACAACAAAAAUCAGUACACUGCAUCAUGAAAGGAGAAAAUGGAGGGCAGAGGGUGAGUAUGUCCUAGAAAGGCAGGAGAGUUUGUACUACUUACGUUACUUGGGACUAGAAAAAGCUUCCAUGCAGGUUAAGAGAGAUGUAACUUAUGACUAUAUUUGGUUUGUUAAAACAGGUAUCAUUAUUCACUGGCCAGGAAAGUGCUUCCUGUGUUGGUCCAUUACAAGUCUGACAUUCCACAAAUGCUCCAAGUUCUUAGUUCUCUUUCAGCUUUCACUGAUGGACCGCUCAAAUUCCAUGGGAUAGAGAGUGCCAGAGGAGGGUAGAAGAGAAAAUCUUAAGCAGGCUCUGCAUGGAGCCCAACUUUGGGCUCAAUCAGAACAACCCUGGGAUCGUGACCCAAGCUGAAAUCAAGAGUUGGAUGUUCAAUCAAUUGAGCCACCCAGACACCCCUCAACUAUUGUUUUUAAAUAUAAAAUACCAUAUAAUCCAAUAAUUCUACUAGUGAGUAUUUACCCAAAGUAAACAACACACUAACUGAAAAAGAUAUGUGUACCCCUAUGUUUAUUGAAACAUAAUUUACAACAGCCAAGAUAUGCAAGCAACCUAAGUACCCAUAGAUAGAUGAGUGGAUAAAGAAGAUAUGAUCUGUACAUACAUAUAUAUACAUACACAUAUACUAAGAAGUAGUAUGCAACUAUAAAAAGCACGAGAUCUUGUCAUUUGCAACAACAUGGAUGGACUCAGAGGGCGUUUUGCUAAGUAAAAUAAGUCAUACUAAGAAAGACAAAAACCAUAUGAUUUCACUCAUAUAUGGAAUUUGAAAAACAAAUGUAUAAACAAACAAACAAAAAGCAGAAUCAGACCUUUAAAACCUGAGAACAAAUUGUUGCUAGAAGGAGGGAAGUUGGGGAAUGGGUAAAAUGGAUGAAAGGGAGGGAGGGUACAGGCUUUUAGUAUGGAAUAAAUAAGUUAUAAAUGGAAUAUAUAAGUUAUAU